UCAGAACCCGACGAAUAGGAUUCGAGAUAAAUAUGGACAACACGACUGAAUUGGAAAAUAUCAUACUCGAAUCAGAACCUCAAUCAUCAAUCUACAUUACACAAGUACAGCAUAAGAAACCCCCUCAACAAAAUAUUAGCCUCAGUUCUUUUCUACAAUGAUGGUAACAUUUAAAGUUUUUUUAGAUAUAUACUAAGAACAAUUAAUUUCUCCCUCUUUAUAUAUCACAAGCCUACAAAUAAAAUGAAAACCCUACAAAAGAGAAACCAUUUACAU
This 276-nucleotide long non-coding RNA is filed under the name Linum usitatissimum (flax). Its description in RNAcentral is "long non-coding RNA (LUSI_LNC000785)". The record is from RNAcentral. Lineage: Eukaryota; Viridiplantae; Streptophyta; Magnoliopsida; Malpighiales; Linaceae.